AGCAGCCGCGGUAAUUCCAGCUCCAAUAGCGUAUAUUAAAGUUGUUGCAGUUAAAAAGCUCGUAGUUGAAUUUCGGGAUUAGUGCGCUGGUCAUGCCUUUGGUAUGUACUGGUGUUACUGAUUUCUACCUUCUGAAGAACCGUUAUGUCAUUCAUUUGGUGUGGCGGGGAAUCAGGACUGUUACUUUGAAAAAUUAGAGUGUUUAAAGCAGGCUCGCGCUUGAAUACAUUAGCAUGGAAUAAUGAAAUAGGACGUUUGACCCUAUUUUGUUGGUUCCUAGGAUCGACGUAAUGAUUAAUAGGGAUAGUUGGGGGCAUUAGUAUUCAAUUGUCAGAGGUGAAAUUCUUGGAUUUAUUGAAGACUAACUACUGCGAAAGCAUUUGCCAAGGAUGUUUUCAUUAAUCAAGAACGAAAGUUAGGGGAUCGAAGACGAUCAAAUACCGUCGUAGUCUUAACCAUAAACUAUGCCGACUAGGGAUCGGAUGAUGUUAUUUUUAAUGACUCAUUCGGCGCCUUACGG
RNAcentral lists this ribosomal RNA (520 nucleotides) under uncultured Glomeromycotina. RNAcentral's name for it is "SSU rRNA". It matches the Rfam family "Eukaryotic small subunit ribosomal RNA", at positions 569 to 1093 of the family's 1831-position model. The record is from RNAcentral. Lineage: Eukaryota; Fungi; Glomeromycota.